This is a long non-coding RNA of Bos taurus (domestic cattle), 1574 nucleotides long. The record is from Ensembl. Lineage: Eukaryota; Metazoa; Chordata; Mammalia; Artiodactyla; Bovidae.
AGGGCCUCCUCGCUCCCGGCUCUUCCGGGACGAGAAGGCAUUUGAAGGAGUGCGCUCAGCCCAGGGGAAAUCAGGCCCUCCCCACCACACACACACCUGAGGGAAGACAGCACGGAGGGGCGCUGCCAGGAAGGCAGGGGCGUCUGGGAGCAUCCUCCAGACCCGCAGACAGGCUGCCUCUGAGUCCUUCUCCCCUCCCGCCGGAGGCCACACGGGACGAGGAGUUUCAGCAGCUUUGACCCUGACCAUGGAAGAGAAAGCCUCCCCAUUCCUGGCAUGGUCCUGAAGUCAGAGUCUCAUGUGGGUCUCACGGUGCUCAGGACAGGUGUGGGCAGGGCUCCGCUUCCCCUGGAGGCUCCAAGAAAGAAUCCAUCUCCUGGCCUUUGCUGGCUUCCAGAGGCGCCCACGUGCCUUGGCACAUGGGCCCUUUUCCCACGUCCAAGCCAGCAGCUCAGCAUCUCCUGAUCUCUCUCUGACUCUGACCUCUUCCUUCCUCUCCUGACCCUUGUGAUGACGUUGGACCUUCGGGGGAAAUCGAGGACCAUCUCCCCUUCUCAAGAUUCUUAACUAAUCCCGUCUGCAAAGGCCCUUUUACCAUAGAAGGCAGCUAUUGGGACUUCCCUGGUGGCCCAGUGACUAAGACUCUGCACUCCCGGUGCAGGGGGCCCAGGUCCGAGUCCCUGGUCAGGGAACUAGAGCCCACAUGCCUCAUCUGAGCGUUCGCAUGCUACGACUGAAGAUCCCUCGUGAGGCAUCUAAGACACGGGGCAGCUGAAUACGUGAAAAAAAACAUUUAAGAAAACGGAGGAAGACGUUCACAGGUUCCGGGUAUCAGGACGUGACCAUCCUAGAGGGGCGUUACUGUGUCCCCACGGGGCUCGAGAGCGUGGCCACUGGAGCAGACAGGCUCCGGGGCCUCAGACAAGUCAUUUCACCUCUGCGUGCUUCAGUUUCCACAUCUGUAGAGAGAAGACAGUGACAGCCCUACCCCGUUAGGCCCACCGCUAUUUCCACAAGCCCUUCUGGCAGAUGCAGAGGGCUGUGGGCAGUGGCCAUGUUUCCAGAACCUUCCGUGGCCAUGGCCCAGGUAACUGGGGAGGGGCUGCUCACUGAGCUCACUGAGCUCGCUGCUCACUGAGCUCACCAUCCGUCUGUCCCUCGCCCCCUCCAAGGGCAGUUCCGGUGGCACCCACACACACACACUCGAAAGCCCCCCAGACACGCCUGGGAGGGGCCCCUGGGAGGGCAGGGAGGCCGGUGGUGGCGGCCGCCACAGCCACACACGGCUUUUUCCUGCAUUUAACCGGAUUACAGGACUUGAGCUUCCUUCCGUGUUAGGUCCUCCCAAGCCCCUGGGAAGUCACGGGCGCUGAGCCUACACUUGUUGGAUUGUGAGUCAUGCAUUGGCCGAGGGGUGGAGAAGAGAUGGAAUCAGAAUUUCGGCCCUGGCCCCCUCAAAGCCUUCAUUUUUCUGUGAACGUAUAGUGCAGAGGGUACUUAUUUCAGAACAAUAAAGGGAUCAUGACCUUGACAGCGAAUCCUUCCCCUUGGCUCGGAGGGAGCACAGCCAGCCC